Molecule: microRNA precursor, 110 nt
Filed under: Cephalotus follicularis
Lineage: Eukaryota; Viridiplantae; Streptophyta; Magnoliopsida; Oxalidales; Cephalotaceae
Description: MIR394 microRNA precursor family
Rfam family: MIR394 microRNA precursor family
Source: Rfam by way of RNAcentral
CUUACAGAGUUUAUUGGCAUUCUGUCCACCUCCCAUCAUCAAUAGACAACUCUCUCUCUCUUUCUCUCUCUCUCUCGGAGGUGGGCAUACUGCCAACUGAGCUCUGUUGG